CAGCAGCCGCGGGAAUACGAAGGGUGCAAGCGUUACUCGGAAUUACUGGGCGUAAAGCGUGCGUAGGUGGUGGUUUAAGUCCGUUGUGAAAGCCCUGGGCUCAACCUGGGAAUUGCAGUGGAUACUGGGUCACUAGAGUGUGGUAGAGGAUAGUGGAAUUUCCGGUGUAGCAGUGAAAUGCGUAGAGAUCGGAAGGAACAUCUGUGGCGAAGGCGACUAUCUGGGCCAACACUGACACUGAGGCACGAAAGCGUGGGGAGCAAACAGGAUUAGAUACCCCUGUAGUCCCUGUCUCUUAUAC
RNAcentral lists this ribosomal RNA (301 nucleotides) under uncultured bacterium. RNAcentral's name for it is "partial 16S ribosomal RNA". It matches the Rfam family "Bacterial small subunit ribosomal RNA", at positions 509 to 807 of the family's 1533-position model. The record is from RNAcentral.